CUGAGAGGAUGACCAGCCACACUGGAACUGAGACACGGUCCAGACUCCUACGGGAGGCAGCAGUGGGGAAUAUUGCACAAUGGGCGCAAGCCUGAUGCAGCCAUGCCGCGUGUAUGAAGAAGGCCUUCGGGUUGUAAAGUACUUUCAGCGGGGAGGAAGGGAGUAAAGUUAAUACCUUUGCUCAUUGACGUUACCCGCAGAAGAAGCACCGGCUAACUCCGUGCCAGCAGCCGCGGUAAUACGGAGGGUGCAAGCGUUAAUCGGAAUUACUGGGCGUAAAGCGCACGCAGGCGGUUUGUUAAGUCAGAUGUGAAAUCCCCGGGCUCAACCUGGGAACUGCAUCUGAUACUGGCAAGCUUGAGUCUCGUAGAGGGGGGUAGAAUUCCAGGUGUAGCGGUGAAAUGCGUAGAGAUCUGGAGGAAUACCGGUGGCGAAG
RNAcentral lists this ribosomal RNA (436 nucleotides) under Escherichia coli. RNAcentral's name for it is "bacterial SSU rRNA". It matches the Rfam family "Bacterial small subunit ribosomal RNA", at positions 292 to 720 of the family's 1533-position model. The record is from RNAcentral. RNAcentral also lists the same sequence under 1 other name. Lineage: Bacteria; Pseudomonadati; Pseudomonadota; Gammaproteobacteria; Enterobacterales; Enterobacteriaceae.